GGAAGCCGGUGCAAAUCCGACGCGGUCGCGCCACUGUCAACGGCAUGGGAUCUGCCCUUGCCGCGAGCCAGAC
This 73-nucleotide non-coding RNA is filed under the name Beijerinckia indica. The record is from RNAcentral. Lineage: Bacteria; Pseudomonadati; Pseudomonadota; Alphaproteobacteria; Hyphomicrobiales; Beijerinckiaceae.